This 238-nucleotide small nuclear RNA is filed under the name Diabrotica virgifera virgifera (western corn rootworm). RNAcentral's name for it is "U12 minor spliceosomal RNA". The stretch from base 1 to 133 matches the Rfam family "U12 minor spliceosomal RNA". Rfam says of the family: Although the U12 sequence is very divergent from that of U2, the two are functionally analogous. Lineage: Eukaryota; Metazoa; Arthropoda; Insecta; Coleoptera; Chrysomelidae. The record is from Rfam by way of RNAcentral.
GUGCCUUAAACUAAUGAGUAAGGAAAAUAAACAAGCCCUGGUAACGCUUGGCUUACAUACUAGAUUUACUCAGGGUUGUUAACUCUACGGAUUUUUCCGUAGAUCUACGGAUUUUCGAAAUUAUUUCGGAUUUUCGGAUAUCGACCACAUUUCUACGGAUUUUUCAGCUGCAGCCAUCAAGAAGCUAAAAUGAGGAUUUUUUACUCUUAAGGUGUCAUUCUUCUUCUUUUUUGGUCUA